GACGAACGCUGGCGGCGUGCUUAACACAUGCAAGUCGAGCGGUAAGGCCCUUUCGGGGGUACACGAGCGGCGAACGGGUGAGUAACACGUGGGUGACCGCCCUCAGCUCUGGGAUAAGCCUGGGAAACUGGGUCUAAUACUGGAUAUGACUCCACGGUGCAUGUCGUGGGGUGGAAAGCCUUGUGCGGCUGAGGAUGGGCCCGCGGCCUAUCAGCUUGUUGGUGGGGUGAUGGCCUACCAAGGCGACGACGGGUAGCCGGCCUGAGAGGGCGACCGGCCACACUGGGACUGAGACACGGCCCAGACUCCUACGGGAGGCAGCAGUGGGGAAUCUUGCGCAAUGGGCGAAAGCCUGACGCAGCGACGCCGCGUGAGGGAUGACGGCCU
RNAcentral lists this ribosomal RNA (387 nucleotides) under uncultured bacterium. RNAcentral's name for it is "bacterial SSU rRNA". It matches the Rfam family "Bacterial small subunit ribosomal RNA", at positions 28 to 417 of the family's 1533-position model. The record is from RNAcentral.